UCCACUAAAGAAAACAAGCCUAUUAAGCUCCAAAUAAAGGUUAAAACAAAAAUCAGGGGGAAAAACUAAAAAAGAGUGCAGCAUCUAGAUGAACCAAUUAUGCAGAUGAAAUUAAAGAAUUUACAGAUUGGGUCAUACUGGGAUAGGUUUAAACAUUGCCAUUUCCAUACAUUUUCAUAACUAGAGUGUGUGUGUGUGUGUUU
RNAcentral lists this unclassified non-coding RNA (203 nucleotides) under Hevea brasiliensis (rubber tree). The record is from RNAcentral. Lineage: Eukaryota; Viridiplantae; Streptophyta; Magnoliopsida; Malpighiales; Euphorbiaceae.